GGCUGGGGGCUGGGGGGGAGCAGAAUGUGCAUGUAUUGGAGCCUUUAUAUAAAAUGCACCUGUUGAAUUUUUCCAGAGUCAUCCCAAGAUUCUCAUUUUGCUUGGAAGUGUGAGAUUUGGAUGCGUUGCUUGACGCGCACAACUGCAGUUACGGGAAAAUCACACCCAAACGGGUUCAUCAUUUGUAUGGCUAACUAAUGACUCAAAUUCUCUGUGUACCGACUCCUGAAGAAAAGAUUCUUGGAUCUGCAGACCUGGCUGUGUAGGAGCUGGGAGGAACGGAGUGUGCAUGCAGAGACUGUGCACGAACACAAGAGGGCAUACUCGCGCUCACCUGCUGGUAUGAGUGAAAACAAAAUGCAGAAACUUGACAUGUACAGUAUUUUAUUGGGCUGAAAAACAAGGUUAAUUAAGCUGCAGAUUAAUUAAAGUUUUAAUAAUUCCUAUUCAUCAUGAUCCCUUAAUAAUUCUUAGUUUUGCGGCAGUUAACUAAUGGUAAGUUCCCAACAGGAUUCUUGUGGUAAAUACAGCAAUAUCAUCUACUCUUACAACAUGCAACACACAACUAACAAUUAACCAGUCAUUGUGCAUUACAGUUUUAACGGUAGGCAUAGAUAUGUGUCAAGGAAGGAUUUACUGUCCUGAGUUAGAUAUUGCAAUCACUGACAGGGUGCAACUUCAGCCAGACUUCUCAAGUGCUUUCACAACUAUAUCAGUCUUUUUAUCCAUGCAUCCAAGAAAAUAAUCCAGGAUAAGUAGGGCCCACAAAAAACAAACAACUGUCAGCCUAAAAACUGUAUAACCCCCAGCAUAUCUAAACUAAUAGCUCAAUACAGUUAACAAAGUGAGGGUUCCAUGUUGACACUGCUCGCGCUGCAGUUUACUGACAUUAGCCUUCUUUCAUAAACACAUCUUCACCCAAAGUAAACCGAGGAACUCUUAUUGUAUUGACCUGGCAGGCUUUCUUUAAUCCAGCACUGCUUUGGGCUUUAGGAUCAGUACAAGGGAGCAAUGGAGCUGGUAAUCAUGGGGGCUCUUUAUAUGAUAACACCACACUGUCUUAAAAUAGGACAAUAGAAUCUUUAACAGGCUGAUUUUGAUCUACUGUUUGUGUGUUUGAAUGGUUCGCUAUAUUUUUUGUCUGUCUGUGAUUGCACUUGAUUGUGUUUCUGAGGUGUGUCCAACCCUGUAGAUCAAUCGCUGUCACUCCAUACAAGCUGGGGUCUCGGGUGCUGUCUGUGAGUGUGAAUAAUAAGAAACACUGCCUGAUAAGUGUAGCAAAGUACUGGGGCUGAGGACCACUGUAACAAAACCAUGUCAUCAGAGAAAACCAAACCAGAUCUGACAAUGAAAAGCAAGCAAACAACCAAAAGACUCUCAGCGGCACAAUAAAAGCACAGCCAUAAUGAUGUUAAUAAAGCUGUUUUUUAUUUAGGUUCUGAAAUAAUUGACGGUUUUAGCAUGGACUCAGAUGGCUCCUGAUUUUAAAAGCAUUCAGAAACAUUGCUGUUAUUACAAGUCAAGCCAAAUUUAACAGUUUAAUAGCCUGUUCUGAAAGAUGAAAAUCAAGGGUAUUGCAUAUAUUUUCUUUUCAUAGCAUGUCAUUUAAUUGCAGUUUAAAUGCAGCUCUGGAUUUCCUGUUCACUACUUUGGCUUUCUGAAAGCGAGGGGUCAGUGCUAACGAGGAAGUGCAUAUAUAAAAAGAGGAUGAUGAGAAGGUCUGGAAGAAAACAAUAUGGUGUGGAGUUCAAUCUGGAGAUAAACAUGAGCACAUUGUGCAGGCUUGGAUUCCAGAAGGAGAAUCCCCAACACAUCAUGCAGUGAGACUUCCGAAAGUAACAAACACGGAAAAGGGACAGCGCUGAGACGACAUUUCUUUUCUGAACCAGUUGAUAAAUACAGAUGCGGAGGAUUAAACGAAGAACGCAGUGAACUCACCACAGGAAACAAACAGACUGAGAACGAGUGGGACAAGCAAGACCCGUCAACAACUCUGCCACUAAAAUCAGAGUUCAGGCAAUCAUCAGCCCAACCAAUCGCAAGCAGCCCAUCGUGCCCUCAGGGACCUGUGCUAAGGAAGAAUGUCUGUACCAAGUCUCCUUACAGCAUGGGCUGCUCUUCCUACACAUCUCUAACAUGCCAUGCAUGCAGGGCCCACCACUAUGCUCUGCAGGGCAUGCUGGGUACAUGAAUAACUGAACUGUGCAAAGCACAUCGGGAGGGUACUCCCAGUCUCUCAUGCAUAGCUGAGUGUUAGUCAAGUCUCAGUGGAGGUCUAUCUCAAUUGUGAUUCAUUUCAAGUGGUUUCACCAGCACUUCCUGGGAAGAAUAACCUUUACCUGUUUGUCACAUCAGACACAUGCAGUGCAAUGGUGUUGUUUUCAAGACAUCAGAGAAGAGUCUUUCUGACAAAGUGAAAACUACAACCAUUUUUUCACGAGGGAAAUUACGUUUUCCGAAAGUUCUGGAAGGAUGUACUAAAAUUAUAAAACUGGUAAGAAAAAUCCAGCCUGGCAAAUUCAGCAGACUUCUAGUGUUUAAAUACAUAAGACCAGUGUGUAUCUGUAGCUCUCUCCUUACC
Acipenser ruthenus (sterlet) is the source of this 2581-nucleotide long non-coding RNA. RefSeq lists it as uncharacterized. The transcript is spliced from 4 exons. Lineage: Eukaryota; Metazoa; Chordata; Actinopteri; Acipenseriformes; Acipenseridae. The record is from RefSeq and is a predicted model, not a curated record.